CCUACGGGGGGCUGCAGUGGGGAAUAUUGGACAAUGGGGGCAACCCUGAUCCAGCCAUGCCGCGUGUGUGAAGAAGGCCCUCGGGUUGUAAAGCACUUUCAGUGAGGAAGAACGCCUGGUGGUUAAUACCCAUCAGGAAAGACAUCACUCACAGAAGAAGCACCGGCUAACUCCGUGCCAGCAGCCGCGGUAAUACGGAGGGUGCGAGCGUUAAUCGGAAUUACUGGGCGUAAAGCGCGCGUAGGUGGCUUGAUAAGCCGGUUGUGAAAGCCCCGGGCUCAACCUGGGAACGGCAUCCGGAACUGUCAAGCUAGAGUGCAGGAGAGGAAGGUAGAAUUCCCGGUGUAGCGGUGAAAUGCGUAGAGAUCGGGCGGAAUACCAGUGGCGACGGCGGCCUUCUGGACUGACACUGACACUGAGGUGCGAAAGCGUGGGUAGCAAACAGGAUUAGAUACCCUAGUAGUC
RNAcentral lists this ribosomal RNA (465 nucleotides) under Vreelandella stevensii. RNAcentral describes it as "partial 16S ribosomal RNA". It matches the Rfam family "Bacterial small subunit ribosomal RNA", at positions 338 to 795 of the family's 1533-position model. Lineage: Bacteria; Pseudomonadati; Pseudomonadota; Gammaproteobacteria; Oceanospirillales; Halomonadaceae. The record is from RNAcentral.